UUCGCAAUGCCCGAAAGGGUGACGAAGCGACGCCGCGUGUGGGAAGAAGGCCUUCGGGUUGUAAACCACUGUCGGGAGUUAAGAAAUGCAAGGAUAUGAAUAGUGUCUUUGCUUGACUAAGGCUCCGGAGGAAGCCACGGCUAACUCUGUGCCAGCAGCCGCGGUAAUACAGAGGCGGCAAGCGUUGUUCGGAAUUAUUGGGCGUAAAGAGCACGUAGGCGGCUAUGUAAGUCGGUUGUGAAAGCCUUCCGCUCAACGGGAGAACAGCAUCCGGUACUACAUGGCUUGAGUGCGGGAGGGGAGAGUGGAACUUCUGGUGGAGCGGUGAAAUGCGUAGAUAUCAGAAGGAACGCCGGCGGCGAAAGCGGCUCUCUGGCCCAUAACUGACGCUGAGUGUGCGAAAGCUAGGGGAGCAAACGGGAUUAGAUACCCCGGUAGUCCUAGCCGUAAACGAUGGGCACUAAGUAGAGGGGUUUU
This 477-nucleotide ribosomal RNA is filed under the name uncultured bacterium. Its description in RNAcentral is "bacterial SSU rRNA". It matches the Rfam family "Bacterial small subunit ribosomal RNA", at positions 365 to 832 of the family's 1533-position model. The record is from RNAcentral.